GAAAUGCGAUAAGUAAUGUGAAUUGCAGAAUUCAGUGAAUCAUCGAAUCUUUGAACGCACCUUGCGCUCCUUGGUAUUCCUUGGAGAAUGCCUGUUUGAGUAUCAUGAAAUCUUCAAAGUAAAUCUUUUGUUAACUCAAUUGGUUUCUACUUUGGUAUUGGAGGUCUUUGCAGCUUCACACCUGCUCCUCUUUGUUCAUUAGCUGGAUCUCAGUGUUAUGCUUGGUUCCACUCGGCGUGAUAAGUUAUCUAUCGCUGAGGACACUGUAAAAGGUGGCCAAGGUAAAUUCAGAUGAACCGCUUCUAAUAGUCCAUUGACUUGGACAAUACUUUUAUGAUCUGAUCUCAAAUCAGGUAGGACUACCCGCUGAACUUAAGC
RNAcentral lists this unclassified non-coding RNA (378 nucleotides) under plant metagenome. Its description in RNAcentral is "partial contains 5.8S ribosomal RNA, internal transcribed spacer 2, and large subunit ribosomal RNA". The stretch from base 1 to 105 matches the Rfam family "5.8S ribosomal RNA", at positions 50 to 154 of the family's 154-position model. The record is from RNAcentral.